AGGGUUGAUCCCUGGCUCAGGAUGAACGCUGGCGGUGCGCCUAAUGCAUGCAAGUCGAGCGACGCAUACCGGAGGGGUAACCCACUGGUAUGACGGAGCGGCGAACGGGUGAGUAACACGUGAGCAACCUGCCCCACAGAUCGGAAUAGCCCAGGGAAACUUGGAUUAAUACCGGAUGCCCUCCUUGGACCGCAUGGUCCGUUGAGGAAAUGCCUUUGUGCUGUGGGAUGGGCUCGCGACUUAUCAGUUAGUUGGUGGGGUAACGGCCUACCAAGACAAUGACGAGUAGCUGGUCUGAGAGGACGAUCAGCCACACUGGGACUGAGACACGGCCCAGACUCCUACGGGAGGCAGCAGCAGGGAAUCUUGCGCAAUGGGCGAAAGCCUGACGCAGCGACACCGCGUGGGGGGAUGAAGGCCUUCGGGGUUUGUAAAACCGGCUUUUCAGGGAGGGGACCGAAAAUUGACGGUACCUUCCAGGAAGAAAGGGCCCUGGCCAACUACCGUUUGCC
This 512-nucleotide ribosomal RNA is filed under the name uncultured bacterium. RNAcentral describes it as "bacterial SSU rRNA". It matches the Rfam family "Bacterial small subunit ribosomal RNA", at positions 8 to 509 of the family's 1533-position model. The record is from RNAcentral.